RNAcentral lists this transfer RNA (84 nucleotides) under Thermococci archaeon. RNAcentral's name for it is "tRNA-Ser". It matches the Rfam family "tRNA". From Rfam's summary of the family: Transfer RNA (tRNA) molecules are approximately 80 nucleotides in length. Their secondary structure includes four short double-helical elements and three loops (D, anti-codon, and T loops). Lineage: Archaea; Methanobacteriati; Methanobacteriota; Thermococci. The record is from RNAcentral. RNAcentral also lists the same sequence under 1 other name.
GCCGGGAUGGCCCAGUCUGGUACGGCGCGAGCCUGCUAAGCUCGUUCUCGAAAGAGAUCCAGGGUUCAAAUCCCUGUCCCGGCG